Molecule: non-coding RNA, 27 nt
Filed under: Homo sapiens (human)
Lineage: Eukaryota; Metazoa; Chordata; Mammalia; Primates; Hominidae
Source: RNAcentral
UUGUGGCGGCCCAAGUUGAUGAGCAUU